RNAcentral lists this ribosomal RNA (465 nucleotides) under uncultured bacterium. Its description in RNAcentral is "partial 16S ribosomal RNA". It matches the Rfam family "Bacterial small subunit ribosomal RNA", at positions 28 to 507 of the family's 1533-position model. The record is from RNAcentral.
GACGAACGCUGGCGGCGUGCUUAACACAUGCAAGUCGAACGGAAAGGCCCUGCUUGCAGGGUACUCGAGUGGCGAACGGGUGAGUAACACGUGGGUGACCUGCCCUGCACUUCGGGAUAAGCCUGGGAAACUGGGUCUAAUACCGGAUAGGAGCCAUUUUUAGUGUGAUGGUUGGAAAGUUUUUUCGGUGUAGGAUGAGCUCGCGGCCUAUCAGCUUGUUGGUGGGGUAAUGGCCUACCAAGGCGGCGACGGGUAGCCGGCCUGAGAGGGUGGACGGCCACAUUGGGACUGAGAUACGGCCCAGACUCCUACGGGAGGCAGCAGUGGGGAAUAUUGCACAAUGGGCGCAAGCCUGAUGCAGCGACGCCGCGUGGGGGAUGACGGCCUUCGGGUUGUAAACUCCUUUCGCUAGGGACGAAGCUUUUUGUGACGGUACCUAGAUAAGAAGCACCGGCCAACUACGUG